UCAUUUUCCCUCUAAAAAACAGAAACCCAAAAUCAUAGUGAACCAUUUUAGGUCUAGCCCCUGCUCUCUCUCUCUUAUUUCCUUCUCUGCUGAGGUGGCAAACGUUUGGUCUCUGAUUCUCUCUCAGAUCUCGCCAUUGCUUCGAUCUCCGCUGAUCUCGUGACUUGAAAGCUUCCUCUUCUCACUAUUUCGUUUUUGUUUUUCUUUAUUUUUCAUCGCCAUCUGGAUUUUUGGGUGGGGGCUCAUGGCAGCACUGGUUUUUCUGGUGUUGGGGACUUCUGAAACGCCAGAGAAGGAAACACAGACAGACAAAGGGUUUUUAGAUUUGUAUGUUUGUUUUUCUAUUCUUGAAAUUUGCAUAUUUGUUUAAUAUUAAUUCUUCUAGAGUAACUAUUUGUUAAUCGAAUUUGCGAGACAAAAACUUUAUUUAAUGAUUUACGAAUUGUUCUUUGUCUUUCGCAUUUGGGACACAAAACUUUGUUCUUGACUAAAGUUUCAAUCGUCAAGAUUGCUCACUUUCCCUUUUCUCUUUCAUAUUUUUGUUGCUUUUAUCCCUUUUUCUUCUUAAUUGUUGUUAGGUCCAUUUGGUAUUGGUGUUUAUGGCAUAGUCAAUAAGAACUUGCAACCAGGUAACUUAACCUUCAAUCUUCUGCAAUUUAAUUGGUGGGUCUCUAUAUUCUUUAUCUGUUUCUGGGAUUGCACCUUAGUAAAAUUUGGAAGCAUUAAGAAGCAUGUGACUUUUUCACUUUAAAGCAUAUGUAUUUAAUUACGAAAUGAUAUGGGUAUUUGUCACUUCAUUAUUUGAAUUGUACUCUUUUGAGCUCCGUUGUGCAAUUUUUUUUUUUUUUUUUUUGAUGAGUGCCUCUUCUUGCAUAUAUGGAAGUUGGUAACUAAUUUGUAAUGAGUCUCUUAUCAUUUGUCCUCUAGAUCAUACAAAAUGUGUAUAUGCAUGUCACCAUGUGAAAUUCACCAAUUAGAGAUUUCUGAUAUUACAAUAUUGUUACUUUGUUAGCAGCUUGCUUUAGAAUUGAUAGUACUAUUACAAUAUUUGUUUAUCAAGGCACUGACUUUGAUAUUUGAGAAAAGUUAAUCAACUUAUAUGUGUCUAUGAAUUUCCAACUUAUGUCUUGUUUUCAAUCUUCCUUUCUCUUUUAAGUCAUUCAAAAAAAUGAGAUUUUGCCCAUUUAGGUUUGAUUUUCCAUUUUUUGGGUUGUUUGGUUUGCCAAUAAAAUUAGGGAAGAUAUGGAAUCAUCGCAAACAAGAUCCAUAUUUAAAAGAUGGUGUAGUGAUGAAUAAAUCGAAUGGUAAGUAGAGAAAAAAAGUGUAGUAAAUUAGUGAUCAAUUUCAAUGCAUAUUGUUGGAAGAAGCAUUGCACGAUAACAAGAUAAAUGUUAUGAGCCAUCUCAUUUUGUAUGUGCAAAACCUUACUGGUUUAAAAUUACAAUGCCCAUAAAAACUGCAGUUUCAACAUUGUAGCAGAUGCCAUCUUAUUGAUAUUUGGCAGCAUAAGUUUUGAAGUGUUUUAAAAUUUUGAGUAUCAGGUUAGCUGGAAUUUAUUAUCUGAGAGCUUAAAAGCUGGCAUGUUAUGCUAUGCAUGUGCUCUUUUAUUAAUUUUUGAUUGCCCAACAACUGCUCAUGCAGCUAAUACUGUCUUGCCUGGUAAAAGUUACACUAAUUAUUUUCACAUGCUGUAUGGAUGUGAAGAUAUCAAGCUGCAUAUUCAAAUGCCUUGAGAAGGUGUAUAUAGAGGAUGGACCAAUGAAGCUAAUGUUGAAAGAGAUAGGCUACCUGUUAUGGUAAUUUUCGAUAAUAUUCAAAAGCUCUUUGGAGUUCUAUACGUUAGAACUCAGUCAAUUUUAACCUCCAUCAUAUUGCAUCAUACAUAUCUCACUUUUAUACAUAGGAUAGCCCACGUUUUUCUUAAAAUUUUAUUUCGGUUAAUUGCCAAGGAGUUAUUACAUUGUAUUGUUGUUUUGAUUUGUUUUUGAGUGAAUAAACACUUGGUUCAUUUAUUCAUUAUUUGUUUACAAUUUUAAUAGGUAGAUUAGCACUUUGUUUUAAUGCAGGAUUUUUGUGGAGUUGAGGUUUGCAUAGGUUACCACUUAGUCAUAAAUGCAGUUUUGUAUUUUAUUUCAUUUGGAGUCUGGUCAUUUUGGUUAAUUCUCAUGUUGACCCAAGAUAUCAUUUGGUUGAUGGUUUUGUAUGUGGUCCUUAUUAAGCUAGUUAAACUAAUUCGUAGACAUGGUUGGGUAUUCUAGGAAAUGAGCUAGUUAAACUAAUACGUAGACUUGCUGUUCCCCAAUAAAAUUUUAAUUUGUAAAAAGAUAUAAAAUACUAGUGAUUGACAACAUGGUGGGAGUUUCAAAUCUUAUUUAAGUGGCCAAUAAAUAGGGUCAAUUGAACUUCAAUGCUAAUAUAUGCAUCCAUAACUUCAUUAUUGAUAAAAUCUUUUGAAUUGUGGUUUGUCUUCUCAAUCUCGUGCUUUUUGGUUACAAAUGUGAGAUUCUAAGAAAAUUUGCAAUUUAAUUUCUAUUUGGUUGCUUUGAAGAUGGAUGAAAGGGGAGAUGAAUUGAAUUUGUGUCUUAUGUUUUAUUUUUCUUUUUGUGGAUGUUUCCUUCAUGGUAUUCAAUCACUCAUAACCAAAUGAAGAAGAUGGCUUAAAAUGUUAGAUUUGUGCUGGUACACACUUUUCAUAUUUGCUCCUGUUUGUAGGUGUUUGAAUUUUGGCAAUGGAAGCACUAACUACUUGCUGAAGGUUAUGUGGCUUGGAUGGUUUUGAUUGUAUUGUACACUUAUUUUUUCCUUUUGUUGUUGGUAACUUAAGUUAAUUUUGAUGUUUUUAGCAUGUUAGAUGCACUUUACCUGGUAAUUUUUUUUGAUAAAUCACCUUCCUGGUAAUUAACAUCCAAAAACUUAGUUGUUCUUAUGAUGAUCCACAACUUAGGAUGUAUACAUUCACACAAUUGAUUUUCAUGGUAACAAGAGAAUUUAUUAUAUUAACAACACUGUGUAGCUUUUAUGAAGAGUGAAUCUAUAUCUAGAAAGCACAGACAUGGCAUUUGGGGGCUUUGCUUUUAUGCAUCCAACAUAUGAGAGAGAACAAGUGCAUGAGCUAAAAUAAAUGAGAAAUGAAGAAAUUUCGGUAGAUUAAAUGAAUUCCUUGGUCAUGCUGAAGUUGAAGUGAGGUCUCUGGCUUCAUUUUUCUCUAGCAUGGUAGAAACGAUGCUGCCUUAGCUCAAUAUUUUGGGGAAGAUCCAGCCGGGUGUCCAGUUUGAGCAAGCUAUUUUUGGUCUUAUAGUUUUGAUUAAUUUGUAUUCCUCUUACAUGUUAAAGAAAAUUAAGUCUACCUGUUCUUUAGUUUUGAUAGUUAUCAUGUAUUACCUUCUUAGUUCUCUUGUUUACCUUUCUGCACUCUUGUAUCGUUCAGCCAUGUUUAGCAUGCUCACUCCUAGAAAAGGAUCCUCCCAUUUUUAUUCUGAAAUGGAUAUAGUCCAUUCUAAGGUGAAGAUUUCGUUUUCACAAAUCUAUUGUUGAAUAUGGUGCCAUAUUAUUUAAAACCAAUUAUCAUUCCGUUUUUGGUGGAAUUGAUUUUGAAUGACGUGGCAUCAUGUUACCUUUAGAUGCAUGAAAAAUUAAAUCUAUACCAUGAAAUGGAUCCUCUCCAUUUCAAAUCAAAUAGAGAGGAUCCUGAUCCCCUACUUGGUCCUAUUGGGCAAUACUUAACCUUCAUGCUUAUUUGUGAAAUUUUUUCUUUGAGUUGAAAGUUGAUGUUUGAAACUGAUUUGCGGUUAUUAGAAGAUGAGCUCAGGUUCUAACUUCUUAAUUAUUGUAUGUGAUUAAGAAAUUAAGAAACGCUAGGGUGAGUACAAAUUGCUGUUACUGCUGGGAUUCUUGUUCAUUUUGUAAUAAAUGGUGAAAUGACUGUUUAUAAGUGUUGUCUACAUGUCUAAUGUGCAUUAAAAUCCCCUUGGUUUUGUGUAAAUGUGUUAAAUCUACCACUAUGACAUUCUGAGUUCUCAGCAUGAAAAUGUUGGAUUAAAUCUUAUUCUGUGAAUUUGGAUUCCAGAGGUAGUUCUUAUGAAUGCUAAUACACAUUUUUGUAAUGGAAUUGGUCUCACAGCAAUUGGAUGAAUAUAGAAAUAAUGGUGCAGUUUCUAAGUUGUCCUUAAUUCUAUCAGGGCAGAUUUGAGUAUACUGGCUUGUAUGGUUUUUAAUAAAUCAUGGCUGUAUUCUUUGACUCUGAAACUGUUAUGGCAAGUACUAGACAUCUAAAGGAGUUAUUCUGUAAAUUGGCAUGAAAAUUGGACAUGGUUUGAUAGCCCAUUUAAAUUUUGUAUGUGAAGUUUAUGCUGCUGGAGUAGGCAGUAAACAGUCAGUGACACACCCAACUUUGGUGAAUGAAUUGAGCUGAAAAGUUGUAUGUUUGAUAUUUGAUAUGUAAUUGUAUGCCUGCUUGUUUGGCUGCCUUUGGGGUAAUUCUAGGGUCUCCUAGGAGCCUAGUUAGGAUAAAGAAUAAGAAUGAAUGAAAAUCUAUGAGAGUUGAUAACCAAGUUGUGAAAGAAUACCCUUAAUGAGUUAGAAUGCAUACCAAGUAAUGAAUUGUCAUCCUUUGAUCUAGAUGCAUGUAUGGAAUAGUAGGGAACUCCUCAAAAUUGCCUGCCUUGAUUUGUCAUUAACUCAUUAUCAGAUUUUGUUCUCUAUUCCAUUUUUUGAGCAAUUAACAGAUUUUGCUUUGCAUGAUAAUUAUUUUAAUAAGGUUUUGAUCUUCUAUUUUUAAUUUUUUUUAUAUAUAGUUGUGUUUCAGAUUUGCCUUAAUCAUUACUAUUAUAUUGAUAUUUAGGAAUAAACAAUUUAUUUUCUGCUUUUGCAGCUAGUAGCAGUUGUUGGUAACCAUGUUAUGCUAGUAUGUGUUGUUUUGUCCAGCUUGAUGUAACUCGCCGUAUAGAGAUGUUGAAGACAUUAUUAGUGUAGAACCAGUAUAGUUGUGAGUUGGAUCGACUGAGGCCUGAUUUAAGCCUGCUGAAGCAAGAGUCCAAAUAUAUGGAGGGAGUUUUAAGAAUUUUAUCCAUGGUCUUUGCUUUGUAAUUACUUUAUCUUUAGUUGGUAGUGAAAACAGGACAUUAAUUUAACAAGCUAUUGAAGGGAUUUUAAGAAUUUUAUCCCUGGUCUUUGCUUUAUAACAAGCUUUGAAUGACUUACAAAAAUCUAUUGCAUGUAUGUAUAGAAGUGAAGAUUGUUCUGAUAGAGAAACGCUCAAUGUGGUACGGUUUAAUAAUUG
This is an RNA transcript of Quercus lobata, 5278 nucleotides long. RefSeq lists it as uncharacterized. NCBI's taxonomy places the organism in Eukaryota, Viridiplantae, Streptophyta, Magnoliopsida, Fagales, Fagaceae. The record is from RefSeq and is a predicted model, not a curated record. The transcript is spliced from 3 exons.